CUUCAGCGAACCCAGGUACAGCGGGACGUCGCGGUCCUGCCCGUAGGUGGCCAGCACCGCGUCGGCCUC
Molecule: antisense RNA, 69 nt
Filed under: Saccharothrix espanaensis DSM 44229
Lineage: Bacteria; Bacillati; Actinomycetota; Actinomycetes; Pseudonocardiales; Pseudonocardiaceae
Description: ASpks TB sRNA
Rfam family: ASpks TB sRNA
Source: Rfam by way of RNAcentral